Molecule: small nuclear RNA, 164 nt
Organism: Carlito syrichta (Philippine tarsier)
Lineage: Eukaryota; Metazoa; Chordata; Mammalia; Primates; Tarsiidae
Gene: U1
Rfam family: U1 spliceosomal RNA
About the family: U1 is a small nuclear RNA (snRNA) component of the spliceosome (involved in pre-mRNA splicing).
Source: Ensembl
AUACUUACCUGACACUGGGAUAUACCAUGAUCACGAAGGUGGUUUUCCUAGGGCGGGCUUCUCUAUUGCUCUCCUGAUGUGCUGACUUCUGCAAUUUCCCCAAAUGUGGGAAACUCGACUGUAUAAUUUGUGGUCAUGGGGGACUGCGAUCACGCUCUCCUGGU